RNAcentral lists this ribosomal RNA (379 nucleotides) under uncultured eukaryote. Its description in RNAcentral is "partial 18S ribosomal RNA". It matches the Rfam family "Eukaryotic small subunit ribosomal RNA", at positions 592 to 975 of the family's 1831-position model. The record is from RNAcentral.
CAAUAGCGUAUAUUAAAGUUGUUGCGGUUAAAAAGCUCGUAGUUGGAUCUCUGCUGAGGACGACCGGUCCGCCCUUCGGGUGAGUAUCUGGUUUGGCCUUGGCAUCUUCUUGGUGAACGUAUCUGCACUUGACUGUGUGGUGCGGUACCCAGGACUUUUACUUUGAGGAAAUUAGAGUGUUUCAAGCAGGCAUACGCCUUGAAUACAUUAGCAUGGAAUAAUAAGAUAGGACCUCGGUUCUAUUUUGUUGGUUUCUAGAGCUGAGGUAAUGAUUAAUAGGGAUAGUUGGGGGCAUUCGUAUUUAACUGUCAGGGGUGAAAUUCUUGGAUUUGUUAAAGACGGACUACUGCGAAAGCAUUUGCCAAGGAUGUUUUCAUUG